ACCCCUCCAACCAACUUUUCAUCAUCAACCAAAAUCCCUCUCCCAAAACACUUUGUAAAAUAUUUCUUUAUGAAUACUUUAGUAGUUCCUCCUCUAAGCUUAUAAAAUAAAUAAGUCUAUAAUUAUGUGUGAUCGUUUUUAAUUCUCAAAGCUCAGUAGACUUUUUUGGGUUUCCCAAAAGGGAAAUCUCUCUCCUAUAAGCAUAAGUUAUAAUCACGGGUCUGUUGGUUUUCCACAUAAAAAUUGUCCAUUCACUACUGCAUGGGGACUUUUUAUGGAAAUAUUCAUUCCUAGAAUAGCAUGAUUUGGACUUUAAUUUAGGACAAACAAAUAUACGUGUCCAAAUAGUAAAUCAAUGGAGUUGGAAAGCAAUCUUUGGUGUAUACGGUCAUAAUCGGGCUUGCCCCUUUUUAUGAUUAAUCGAGGCCGGAGCCUAUGUCAUACCGGACCAAGACACGAAGUUAGAUGGCCAAGCUCGUGACUCAGGGACCGAUCGAGAUCGAGACCAGCCAAGAUCGAGACCGAGUGGGAUAGAGAUCGAGCAAGAUUGAGGGAAGCCUGCCGAGCCAAAUAACGAAAAGCCAAGAUAUCUGCGAUCGGGCGAGGAUCACAGCGGAAAUCUCGGCACGGAUCAAGAAGAGGCCGAUUAAUAAGCUAAUAAGAUAUUUCUUACCAUAUUUAGGAUUGUAUUAAGGGUAAGAUUCACCUACUAUAUAAAGGAGUCUGAUAAUUUGUAAAGAUCAUGAUAUUCAC
Long non-coding RNA from Nicotiana tabacum (common tobacco), 753 nucleotides. RefSeq lists it as uncharacterized. The record is from RefSeq and is a predicted model, not a curated record. Lineage: Eukaryota; Viridiplantae; Streptophyta; Magnoliopsida; Solanales; Solanaceae.